Molecule: ribosomal RNA, 483 nt
Filed under: uncultured bacterium
Lineage: Bacteria
Description: partial 16S ribosomal RNA
Rfam family: Bacterial small subunit ribosomal RNA
Source: RNAcentral
UUGCACGCUGGCGACAUGCUUUACCCCUGCCAGUCGAACGGCAGCGCGGGCUUCGGCCUGGCGGCGAGUGGCGAACGGGUGAGUAAUGCAUCGGAACGUGCCCAGUAGUGGGGGAUAGCCCGGCGAAAGCCGGAUUAAUACCGCAUACGACCUGAGGGUGAAAGCGGGGGACCGAAAGGCCUCGCGCUAUUGGAGCGGCCGAUGUCGGAUUAGCUAGUUGGUGGGGUAAAGGCUUACCAAGGCGACGAUCCGUAGCUGGUCUGAGAGGACGACCAGCCACACUGGGACUGAGACACGGCCCAGACUCCUACGGGAGGCAGCAGUGGGGAAUUUUGGACAAUGGGGGCAACCCUGAUCCAGCCAUGCCGCGUGCGGGAAGAAGGCCUUCGGGUUGUAAACCGCUUUUGUUCGGGAAGAAAUCCUCUGGGCUAAUACCCCGGGGGGAUGACGGUACCGGAAGAAUAAGCACCGGCUAACUACGUG